UUUUUAUAAAAUUUACUGUUUCAAUAAGAACACAAAUCUCUUUAGAGAAAAUUUCAAGGAAUGUAGGAUAAGGACACACAAAAAAACUCACCAUAGUCACAAUGAAAAUGGAAAUUUGUAUACUUGUAUAUUCAUUUCUGAGUCUAAAAAUAUCACAUUCAUAUGGGAGAAUAUUUGGAAACCUAAGAAAACUGUAAAGAAUAAACUCGCUUAUACUCUCACCACCUAGAGAUUUUAAUCGCUAACAUUUUAGUAGGUUUCCUUCUUGUCUGUUUAUACAUUGUAUAUAGGAUCUUUUUCAAAUUGUUAAUAUAAACAACCCCAAGUAUUUUUGUAUGUAAAAAAAUAAAUAUUUAAAAAUCUAAGAGCUAUAAACUGGCAAGGGGAUAUGUAAGUUUUUUAAAUAUUGGCCAUUAAUGUCAGCCAGACAGCAUAUUUUUAUUCUUCAGCUCUUUUGUUUUGGCUGGGGCUACCUGAGUCCUCCUUCCAGUUGUCCAACAUCACCCAUCCACAUUACCCCAUUUCAUCCAGAGGUGAUAGGCUCCAGCCACAGUGUAUUGCUGUGUCACCUGAGUCAAGGUACUUAACCUACCCAAACUUUUAUAUUCUUAUCUGAAAAACUGAAGGUAAAGAUAGUAUACUUGGAAUUGUUUUAGGGACUGAAUGAGGCAAUUCUUUGAAAACACAUAGCAAAGAUUCUGGCAUAUAACAAGUGUUUAAUAAGUAUUAACUGUUAUUAUUAGACCCUUGAUAUAAAGAGAAGGGUAAUAUCAGAGUGUUUCAGUUAAGACUGUUUAUUUCUCAGCCACCCCAAAGAGGGACUUUGGACAGAGGAAGAAACUGUACAGGGACUCCCAAGGUUUUACAAGAGUUGGAUGAAGAAGAAGAGCAGGGAGUGGAUCAUUAGCGAAAGUGAUCAAGAAAGGACACACCCUGGGGAUGCAGACUGGGCAUCUGACUGGGCCCAGGAGCAGAGCAGCUCCAAGGAGGAGGAAGAAGCUGUAGCACAUGUGUGAUAAGGCAAAGGGUCAGUCACCUGUUGCUGUGAAAUUAGCCAAAUUUGGUAGCUUAAAAGACAAUAAACAUCUUUUAUCUCCCACAGUGUCUGUGCAUCAGAAAUUCAGAGGCAGUUUAGCUAGGCAGUUCUGGCCUGGGGUCUCUCAUGAGGUGGUAAUAAAGACAUCAGAUAGUGCUGCAGUUAUCUGAAGGUUUGACUGGGGCUGGAGGAUCAGCUUCUACGGUGGCUCAUGCAGGUGGCUGGCCAACCAAUCUUGGCUGUUCACUGGAGGCCUCAGCUCCUUACCACCCAGACCUCUCCCUAGGACUGAUUGAAUGUCCUCAUCAUGUGGCAGAUGUCUUCCCCCAAAGUGAGCGAUCCUAAGACGGCAUAGCAGAAACCUCAAUAUCUUUUAUAAUGUAGCCUAAGUAGUCACACAGUCUCAUUUCUUCAGGAUUCUGCCAGUGACACGGCCAGCCAUGACUUAGUGUGGAGGGGACUACACACGGGCAGGAUUACCAGGAGGGAGGAAUUGGUGGGGCCCAGCUUGGAAGCUGGUUACCAACACAGAGGUCUAGGAGGGGAAGAGUAAGAGUCCACAAGAGCACAGUGCUUCCGGGGUGGGAGAAGAGGGAACACAGGUCUUCCCCAGCUCCUGCCUGACCUCCUAGUGAGAAGGGGGAAGGUGGUGGUGACAGACUGCACAUGGCAGGUGGAGGGCUUUGAGUUUGUCCUUGUGGUCCAGUGGAGGCCAGAGGCAAGAGCUCUGUGAUGGACCCUAUCCAGACCAGCAGGGUGAGGAGGGAAAAUGGUCGCAGCAGUGUUGCUCCUGUAGAAUGGAGAGGUGGCUUUCCCCCAGGAAUGAGACAUCUGGCCAAAGGUAUUGGGGGCAGCGUUGUGACAGGGAGGCAGAGAUCAAGCCUACGUGGAGUGUGAUGCUGUGCUGCUCUGGCCUAAGGUGUGCAGCGUCUCCAAGGACACUGCUCAGCUCCCUUAGUAUCAGGGCAACUGCACCAGGCUCAAGCCAGAGAGCUCCAAGAAGGGCCAAAUUUCAGAAUGGACUCAAGACUGCUGCCUUUCCACUGUCAUCACUGCCCAGACUCCACUCAGACAAUCUCAAGAGAUUCCUUUAGAGCUCAGGUGCUUCCUUGUCUUCCCAUUUAUUUAGGGAUUUCUACCCAGAGGGUCAGAAAUUAACAGAAAGCCCAACUUCACUGCAACAAGGGGAAAUAGGAAUUUUGCUAUUUUCUGAUCAUGGACAAAUGCAGUCAGUUGUUUGAUGCCAGGAAAAUUCAUCUGCUACUAAAUCUCUACAUAUAUAUGACUUCAUUUUUUCAGUUUUCUUUGCUUCAAAGGAUGUUUAUUUAAGUUAUAUUUGUACGCUCUCCCCCUAAGACAUACAGAACACUGCGCAACUGUGAACUGUACUUAAGUAGGCAUUUCAUAUUCCAUUUUUACGGUAACCCCUUGCAGGGAAAGAGUCAGUGCAGCAAAUCUGUUUUGCUCAAUUCUAGCUUAUCUCUGAGGAUGUCUGGAGCCAGGAUCUAAGAACUAAACCUUGGAAUGUUCACAAAUGAUGUCAUUCUGUGCCCAGCACAUUGGGGUAGGACAUACUAAACCAUCAACACCAUUUAAAGCAAACAUGAACCUCUAUGAUGUACACCUGGUGCCUGGUUUGAGGCUCACAACACGAGUGCUUGCGUAGCAGGUAUGCACCAGAACUGUGCCUGAGUUCUCUGCUCUUCAAAGCUGGAAAGAAAACAUGUGUGUGUGUAAGCCAUGCAGAAGGACAAAAGCCUGUUCCUGAGCAUUUUAGCCUUCACCUGUACGUGUAUUUUUUUUUUUCUGUUCUGGCACUGUAUCUUUUGCAAUAAACCUUAGCGGUGAGUAGAAUCUGAUGCUGAGUUAUGCAGGUUCUUCUAGUGAAUUACUGAACCAGUGAGUAGUCAUAGGCCCCCAGAACCUGCCUAAUUUUCAAAGUAAAAUUUUUAAUUACUUGGAAUGAAGUUCAAUCCUAGAUACUACCUAGGAACAGCAACCUCAAAUAUCUCAUUACAGCUUUGCUGCUUUUAGAGUAAAUAAUCACAGAAACUUUUACCUCCCAGAGCCUAUUAAUUCCCCUCUCCACUUCUAUUCUUCUUAAUAACAAUCACAUAUAUACUGAUAGGAAUCACUGGUUAUUUUGAAGACAUAUAAGUGGUAAGGAACCCAGUUCCACCUCCUCCCACAGUAACAAAAUAAAGGAGGAAGCAAAGAUAUAUAGGAGCAAAAGUUUCGUGCACUAUCAAGAAUAAAUUGAGGCUGGGUGCGGUGGCUCACACCUGCAAUCCCAGCACUUUGGGAGGCUCAGGCAGGCAGACCACUUGAUGUCAGGAGUUCAAGACCAGCCUGGCCAACAUGGUGAAACUCUGUCCCUACCAAAAAAUACAAAAAUUAGCCAAGCAUGGUGGCACGCACCUGUAGUACCAGCUACUCGCCCAGCUGAGGUGGGAGAAUUGCUUGAACCCAGGAAGCGGAGGCUUCAGUGAGCCACGAUCGCACCACUGCACUCCAGUCAAGACCCUGUCUCAAAAAAUUUGUAAAAAAGGAAAAAUUGAUAUUAAUUUCAUCCAGAUUGUUAUAAAUUAUGUUAGUCGUAACCCCCAGGGCAAACACUAAGAAAAUGACUAAAAAUAUAUAGUAAAAGAAAUGAAAAUGGAAUCAAAAUGGUACUGUAAAAAAUAUCUUUCUGUGUACACUGACAGACAACACCAAAAAAAGAAAUAAAAUAUAUUUUUAAUACAAAAGAAGGGAAUAACAGGAACUGAGGAACAAAAAAUAUGUAAGACAUUUAGAAAACAAAAAUAAAAUGCAGAAGUAAUGAUCAGUAAUCACGUUAAAUAAAAAUAGAUUAAACUCUUCAUUUAAAAACCAGAUAUUGGCAGAAUGGGUGAACAUUUCCCAAUUAUACCCCAGCUACAAGAUACUCAUUUUUGUUUCAAGUCACACAUAGGUUGAAAAUGAGAGGACACAAAAAGAUAUUCCAUGAAAAUAGUAACCCAAAGAGAGCUGGAGUGGCUACUAAUGUCAGACAAAAUAGACUUUAAGACAAAAAUUGUUACAAGAGGCAAGGAGGGCAUUUAUAUAAUGAUAAAAGGGUCAAUUUAUUAAGAUAUAUAACAGGUAUAAACAUAUGCACUCAAUAACAGAGUCUCAAAAUAUAUGAAGCAAAAACUAACAGAAUUGAAGUGAGAAAUAGACAGUUAAAUAAUAAAAGUUGAAAAAUUCAACACCCUCCUUUCAAUAAUGAAUAGAACAACUAACCAUGGCCAGGUGCAGUGGCUCACACCUGUAAUCCCAGCACUUUGGGAGGCCGAGGUGGGUGGAUCACUUAAGGUCAGGAGUUUGAGACCAGCCUG
Molecule: long non-coding RNA, 4395 nt
Organism: Homo sapiens (human)
Lineage: Eukaryota; Metazoa; Chordata; Mammalia; Primates; Hominidae
Source: Ensembl